This 279-nucleotide ribosomal RNA is filed under the name uncultured bacterium. RNAcentral describes it as "partial 16S ribosomal RNA". It matches the Rfam family "Bacterial small subunit ribosomal RNA", at positions 506 to 784 of the family's 1533-position model. The record is from RNAcentral.
UGCCAGCCGCCGCGGUAAUACGGAGGGUGCAAGCAUUGAUCGGAAUUACUGGGCGUAAAGGGCGCGUAGGCGGCUUGGUCAGUCAGAUGUGAAAUUCCGGGGCUCAACCCCGGAGCUGCAUAUGAAACUGCCAGGCUAGAGUGUAGUUAGGGAAAACGGAAUUCCACGUGUAGCGGUGAAAUGCGUAGAUAUGCGGAAGAACACCGGUGGUGAAGACGGUUUUCUGGGCUAUUUCUGACGCUGAGGCGCGAAAGCAUGGGGAGCGAACAGGAUUAGAUA